GCCACACCCGUUGCUGACAGGUGUAUAAAAUCGAACACAGCCAUGCAAUCUCCAUAGCUGAACAUUGGCAGUAGAAUGGCAUUACUUUAGAACUCAGUGACUUUCAACAUGGCACCAUCAUAGGAUGCCACCUGGUACUCCCUGUAUAUAGCUCCAUUCUUGUGUAUUUUAUUCCUUGUGUUACUAUUUUAUUUGUAAUCUCUGCAUCGUUGGGGAAGGGCCCGUAAACAAGCAUUUCACAGUAAAGUCUACACCAGUUGUGUUCAGCUCAUGUGACAAAUAAAAAUAAUACCCAUAAAGCCUAGCGGUCAAACAAAAAUGGUUCCAAUCGGGGUUUUUUAACAUUCAUUUUAGAACCACUUCAAGAAAGGUUGUGCCACUAUUCAGGUCUUCAGACAUGGGAGGGCUUCAAAUGGGAAUAACAUGAUCCCUUUCAAGCAUGCGGACUGAAAGAAUUGCAUCAACUCUUAAGGAAAGCAUGCUCCAUCAACUCCAUUGAAGGUGAUUCAACUCUAUUCAAUGUGUUUGAAGACUAAGCAUGGAACUGCUGGGACUGGCUUGAUGGUUAAAUGGAAAAGGUAUUGAAGGAAAGAACACAAUUUGGUGGACUGCUUGCAUUUCAGCAAAAAAAUAUCCAGGUAAACGCCAUUGAAGAUGACACUGAAUUAUUAUAACUAUAAAAAAACAUGUACUGUGCACAGCUUUAUCGCUUUACUGUUUACUUUUAAACUGAGAUUACUUGCCCAUCCACAAUGCCUUACUGUAUACAUUGUAUUUAAAGGUAAUAUACUAUUACAUCUACAUUGAUUUUUGAAGCCAUAGGGCUAUCGUGAAAAUGCACUGUGCAGUGAUGAGAGCUUUAAAGCUUUAACCCAGCUUUCUUACUGUUGGUGAAGACAUUAUGUUCUAACUCUGAGCACAUUUUGUAAAUGCUGUUAUGGCCUCUAAAUUGUAUUUGUGUACUAUAUGGACUAAGAUUAUUCCUAACCUGUCUUUUCAUUUCAGGAAUACAUGCUGAUUGUUUGACAUUCAAUGGAGUUGAAGCAUAGAAGGUUGACCAAACAUGGUGCUGCUUGGACUGGAUUGCUGUUUCAUUGAGUCGAUGCAAGACGAUGCAGAUUGUAUGGAAUGCGACAACUCCAUUGAAGGAUGCCACAGGAUUGUUUCUUUCUGGACUUGGGUGGUGUACAGAAUGUUACAUCCUGCAGAUGAUUCACUAAACUCCAGGCCAGACUGUUUGUCUCAGCCACCAUCAGCUGUGUUCACAUGGCCCUUUGACACAUCCUGGAGUGUCAUUGCAUAAUCCUCUUGUCUUGCAAUGUCUGGUUUCUGAACAAAUGUACCACAUAAUGAAUUGUUGAAUGUUUUGCCUUGACUAUGGUCCCGACUGCAUAAACAUGGGGACCUUCUCAAUCAGUGAACAAUAAAAUUGAACUUUGUAAAUUUAUUUUGUCAUUAAUUAUAAUAGAUUUUAGCUAAUAGCAUUGAAAUAAUGUUAACUGGAAACCACUCUGACUGGUUAGUGUAGAACUGUAGUUUUUACAUUGAUGACAGUUUGUUAUAUAACCAAACCAGGGCCAUGUUGAGUAACUGACUUGCAGAUAAUUUUAAUGUGUGAUGCUGGUG
RNAcentral lists this long non-coding RNA (1626 nucleotides) under Salmo salar (Atlantic salmon). RNAcentral's name for it is "lncRNA (ENSSSAG00000111765.1)". Lineage: Eukaryota; Metazoa; Chordata; Actinopteri; Salmoniformes; Salmonidae. The record is from RNAcentral.